Gossypium hirsutum (cotton) is the source of this 106-nucleotide non-coding RNA. The record is from Rfam. NCBI's taxonomy places the organism in Eukaryota, Viridiplantae, Streptophyta, Magnoliopsida, Malvales, Malvaceae.
AUCCCGUGGUGAGGACAUUAUCAUAGUAGCUCUUUAAAUAUUUCUCAUGUCUUGUAUAAGGAUUCAUCAUCCAAUUGUUGAAAAUUUGUGAUCUCAUUCUGAAACU